This is a long non-coding RNA of Drosophila serrata, 130 nucleotides long. The record is from RefSeq and is a predicted model, not a curated record. NCBI's taxonomy places the organism in Eukaryota, Metazoa, Arthropoda, Insecta, Diptera, Drosophilidae.
GUCACGAUGAAGUUAUCCGUAUUUAAACUUUUCUUUUUGGCGACUCUCUUUUGCUUUAUGGAAUUGUCCACGGCUUUUUUAGGCGGGGAUACGUUUGCAAACUUGCCCCACCUCCAUUUUCAACAAUUUG